GUCCAAGGUCACUCCCUGAAAAGAAGCACCAAGGAUCAGCUAUCUACUUCUACUGAAAAGCUUUUUCCUUUCCUGAGAAAGGUGCUGUUCCUUGGAGUUGAACAGACAAAUUAAACAUCAGACCGUACAUAUCUUCUUCAAGCUUACGAGUUUUGCUGACCCAAGACAGGAUUUCCGAACUAGCUUCUGACUUACUUGUCCGUUCUUCUUUCAUCCUUAAAGUACAUGAUAUGAUCCCAAUCACAAAUCAGAGGAUGAAAGUAAAAAGAUUCUAAACCCUAAGACAAUAAAGAAGGACCUGCGCUUGCUACAUAUGAUUGCAUUUGGAAGAUAUUGGGAGACGUCAGACUCAAAUCACUAGUAAUUUUGUACUAAAAAGUAGUCUAAACUGAAUCACAAUAGUCAAAAACGAAAGAAAACUGAAUGAAAAAUUGACAAGAGAUUGCACC
Molecule: long non-coding RNA, 449 nt
Filed under: Linum usitatissimum (flax)
Lineage: Eukaryota; Viridiplantae; Streptophyta; Magnoliopsida; Malpighiales; Linaceae
Description: long non-coding RNA (LUSI_LNC001638)
Source: RNAcentral